CAGCAGCCGCGGGAAUACAGAGGGUGCGAGCGUUAAUCGGAUUUACUGGGCGUAAAGCGUGCGUAGGCGGCUUCUUAAGUCGGAUGUGAAAUCCCUGAGCUUAACUUAGGAAUUGCAUUCGAUACUGGGAAGCUAGAGUAUGGGAGAGGAUGGUAGAAUUCCAGGUGUAGCGGUGAAAUGCGUAGAGAUCUGGAGGAAUACCGAUGGCGAAGGCAGCCAUCUGGCCUAAUACUGAGGCUGAGGUACGAAAGCAUGGGGAGCAAACAGGAUUAGAUACCCGUGUAGUCCCUGUCUCUUAUAA
RNAcentral lists this ribosomal RNA (301 nucleotides) under uncultured bacterium. RNAcentral describes it as "partial 16S ribosomal RNA". It matches the Rfam family "Bacterial small subunit ribosomal RNA", at positions 509 to 809 of the family's 1533-position model. The record is from RNAcentral.